AGUGAACGCUGGCGGUAGGCCUAACACAUGCAAGUCGAACGGCAGCACAGUAAGAGCUUGCUCUUACGGGUGGCGAGUGGCGGACGGGUGAGGAAUACAUCGGAAUCUACUUUUUCGUGGGGGAUAACGUAGGGAAACUUACGCUAAUACCGCAUACGACCUACGGGUGAAAGCAGUGGAUCUUCGGACCUUGCGCGAUUGAAUGAGCCGAUGUCGGAUUAGCUAGUUGGCGGGGUAAAGGCCCACCAAGGCGACGAUCCGUAGCUGGUCUGAGAGGAUGAUCAGCCACACUGGAACUGAGACACGGUCCAGACUCCUACGGGAGGCAGCAGUGGGGAAUAUUGGACAAUGGGCGCAAGCCUGAUCCAGCCAUACCGCGUGGGUGAAGAAGGCCUUCGGGUUGUAAAGCCCUUUUGUUGGGAAAGAAAAGCAGCAGGUUAAUCCACCGAUGUUCUGACGGUACCCAAAGAAUAAGCACCGGCUAACUUCGUG
This 492-nucleotide ribosomal RNA is filed under the name uncultured bacterium. Its description in RNAcentral is "partial 16S ribosomal RNA". It matches the Rfam family "Bacterial small subunit ribosomal RNA", at positions 29 to 507 of the family's 1533-position model. The record is from RNAcentral.